GGUCCCGCUCCCGCAUCCCCCCCUGGCUCCGGCUGCCCUUUCUCUCUCGCUGGCUGCCCGUGUCGGAGCAUGGAUGAUGCUCCCGAGAGCAAAAAUAGCCAAUUUUUGGGUGCGUCAGGGCUAAAAAUACCACGGAUCAGCUCGGGAAGGGUAUUUUCAACAGCGGCUUCCACACACGCCACAGGUACCAAGCACGCUGCUCGACGGGAUACGGCUCAACCAAGAGCGUGCUUCAGAGGCAAAAAUCCCCAAAUCCCCGAGCCCUUAUUCCUGCAGUGCAUGAAGCCCUCCUGGGUCCUCCGAGGAACCCCACUUCCUCCGGGGGCUCCCUCGGGUGUUAUUGCCACUCUGUCCGACGGGGGGGGUUCCACGUGGGAUAUCAGCGAGCACAAAAAUCACAUUUUUCCUCCCCAUAUGUCCCCGCCAGUCUCCUCACCCCAUGGCAAACAGCACCGAGAUGUUCACCCAGACCCCAUAAGUGCAGCACCAGCCAGCAGCCGAGCAUCCCCUUUGGGAUGUUCUGGAUGCACGAGCCUACCUAGCGAGGGGUUUUCUGUCCCCACCUCUGUCCCCAUCACUCGAUGCCGGGCAUCCCAAGGAGGGCACGGGCUGCAGGUGAGCAGAGAGGCUCAUAUGGGGCAGACCCAGUCAGCCCCGUGCACGCUCACUGCACCCCACACCCUCGUGCUCUGCCCUCAGACCCCACGGGAUCCUUCUGUGGCAAUGCAAGACCCAGGGAAUAAUUCUUCCCGAGGGACAGAGCUGUCCCCAAAGCCCUCACCCUGCCCUUUUCCCUCCCCCAGAUCAGCAGUCCUACAACCAAAUGGGAAGCCAAAACCCACAAAACUGCGACCUGGUGCCACCCCCGUGGUCCCACCAGCUCUGCACACCCACACACCGAUGGGUGCUGCGGCUUUCCAAGGGGGCAGCCCUCAGCUUCGCCCCAAAACAAGGAUGCUCACCGCUUUAUUUCACACCCCCUUCUCCUCUCUGCACCUGAUUUAUUUCUUUUUACGAGUUGCACUCUUCAAGCCAAAGCUUCCCCCGCAAGCAGCAGGUUUCAGGCAGAAUUUUGGACCGAUCCCCACGGCCCCUUCCCCAUCCCCAACCCGAUCUGUCCCUGCCUGACCCCGCUUCCCGAGGCCAGCAGGACCCACGGAUGCCCAGCACGGGAUCAUUUUUCCCCGUAGGACCAUCA
This 1198-nucleotide long non-coding RNA is filed under the name Anas platyrhynchos platyrhynchos (common mallard). Its description in RNAcentral is "lncRNA (ENSAPLG00000018957.1)". Lineage: Eukaryota; Metazoa; Chordata; Aves; Anseriformes; Anatidae. The record is from RNAcentral.